Molecule: non-coding RNA, 72 nt
Organism: Chelonoidis abingdonii (Abingdon island giant tortoise)
Lineage: Eukaryota; Metazoa; Chordata; Testudines; Testudinidae
Source: the annotation of a RefSeq genome assembly
GGGGGUAUAGCUCAGUGGUAGAGUGCUUGACUGCUGAUCAAGUGGUUCUUGGCUCAAACCCCAGUAUCCUCU